GAACAGCACAGGAUCAUGGUUGUCAGCCUCAGAGGCAGACAGCUGAGGUUGAAAUCUUAGCUCUUGUGUUACUAGAAGGACAGUUUGAGGUAAGUUAUUAAGUGUCUUCAGGGCUUGGUUUUCCCAAGGAAUAAAAGCAUUCCCCUCCCUCCCUAACACACAUGUCCAGGGAGUGCAUGAGUUGUAAGGAUAUUAUCACAUGUAGAGCUUAGAAUAACAUGUGGCUGGUAGCCAGAGCAAGGCAGUCUCCUAAAUCAGUUUGGUUGAUAGCUUUCCUGGGCGUGAAGAGAAUUCAUGCAUGUCCUUGUGGGGCUUACAAAAGAAGAGCCAUUGCUUUUGACGAUGAAUAAUUGGUGUUCACCUCAACUUGCUUUCAAGGAAAGUUUGAGAGAUUGCUUUGAAAGAUUGGCUAAAAUUUAACAUGGGCACUAAGACGUUUUAAAUUGGAUUCAUGAUUCUGUCUUCACUGCACUCUGGAACUCUUCAAUGGGUAGUUACCUGCUUCCUAAUAACUUCAGUUGUCAUCCUGCUCUUUCCUUUCUGACUCACCCACAAUACUAACAAAGUUAGAGGUCUCAAACAUCAUGGAAGUGGUUAUUUUUGGUUCAGCACAUUAAUGUAUAAGAUUUUGUUUUGAUGAUGGUCGUAUCUGUUUGUAAUUUUCCCUUGGCCCUAGUGUGGUGGGGCACAUGGCAUAGCCCCUGGUCAGCAUGGGGCAUGAGAAUGGCAGCCCAUUUGCUCUGCUCGAGGUAUUCUCCCAUGGCAGUUAUUCAACCUCUUCAGAGGCUCCUUUUCCACAGUAGAAAGGAUAUUCAAAUCCUUACUAACUGUUCAGUGUUGGUGAGAAGGAUCUGUCGUCACAGCCCCUGCAGCAUGCAAGAGUCUCUUAGCGGCAAACCUAAGAACUCAGUUAAUAUUCACAGUUAUUUUAGUACAUCUUGGAUGCUGGAAUUUCCAUUAGGUGUCCCAGAAGAAUCAAAUUGGGUAGACUUUAUUCACCCAAUUUUUCCUUCAGGAAAAUCUAGAACAAGCUCCCAGAAAGUUGAAUCAACUCAAGAGGAAUGCGUGAAUCAAAAAUGUUUAUAACAAUCCAGAUAAUGGAAGGAUAAGACAGAGAUUCAGAGACAGAAAAAUCAAGUCUGAAUUUAAGAAUCUCCACACUUUUCUGCACAGUGAGAGGGAUUCUUAUCUGUGGAGGCUGGAGAAAGAAGAGCAGAUGCUGAUGAGCCUGAGGGAGAAUGAGGCCAACUUGGAGUGGAAGAACCAUGAACUCAAGAGCCACCUCCUGGAACUAGAGGCAAAAUGUCAGAGCUCAGCCCAGAAACUGGCGCAGAGAUAUUGUGGGGCCUCUUACAACUGCAUAAAGGAUGCAUCUCAUAAUGACAAACAGCUGGAGCUGUUAAUUCAGGAUCCCACAAGUGGAACAGAAGGUCUCACCCUGGGGCUGAAAAAGGUAGCACAUCUAUUCCACCGACUGUGAUGCCUGUUGCCACCAUCUUGGUGGCCCAGCUCAGGAACUGUGUAUACAGCCAGAGCAGAAGAUCUCAGUAACAAGUCAUUUCUACAUGGGCUCACUCUGCAGGACAUCAGGUCCCCGAGAGCCAGACUUGCCAGGAGGAAGCUGAGCAACGCUCCUGCCUGCAUCCCCAGCAGCCACAGGCUGAUGCCACUGCAGCCAUUGAUUGCUCUUCCCCACACACUUCUGCUGGGUCACAGCCUCCUGCUGAGUGGGCAGAGGCUCGGUGGGAUCAUUGCUCCUGCCUCUGCAGCAGUGUCUCAGCCUGGGUUGAGCUCUCAUUCCUUUUUGGGGAGUUGUGUUUAUAGACGGUGUCUACCAUGCCACAGUCCAAGGAGUGCUGAGGCUAGCAUACUUCCUUUUGUUUUUCUUCCUUAGAGGAUGUGAAAGGCAUCUUGUGCAGGUGAGUCCAGUAUGAAUACAGGAAGGGAGGAUCCAGUUGGUCUGGGCUGAAUGGAGAGGACCACUGAGGAGUCUCUGCCUCUGCUUCUUCCAGGACUUGUGCUGUGAAGCUGGAAGCACCUGAGGCCUUUUCCUUGGAGGUUCAGACUGUGUUUGGUGCUGCUGAACUUUACAGGAAUAUGAAGAUGAAGUUAAUGGGUUAUCAAGGUAUGAGAUCCAGGGAUUCUCUCAGUGCUGUGAUGGGAAGGACUUCAAGCAACCUCAGGGAUCGUGUGGGUAUUUUCAGCAGGGCUGCCUUACUUUCCCCAUUUAGCAUGAUCUUGCUGAAUUUGUUUUGCAUCCUGGGCAUAUGAGGAAACCUUUAGUUUCUGCUCUGCUCUGUCACCUCAGGCAGCUCCUGUCACUGUUUCCCCUUUGGAGAAAGAAGUGUAUUCACAGUUCCCAAUAUACUGAGUUGUCCUGAACACUAACUGCAAUCACACAUGAAAACUGUUCUCAUGGUGCUUGGCACCGGAUGGAGUUAGGUGGAGUAGGAUGGAUUUUCUUUGGCGCAGGUGACUGUCAUGCUUCUUGUGACUGUUUCAAAUUCUGACAGGAGUCCAGAAAGUUAGAUGAGUAUUACAGACCAUGUUUUCAACAGUUUUAGGCACUUGCCUUAGAUAACACAGGUAAAUAUGAUAACCCUGACAAAAAUUAUGUUUCACUAUGCCAAUGGCUUGUCUUCCUGUUCCAUUUUUCAGUGCUUGCUUUAUUUCUAUAGUUUUUUCCCAUAACUACAAAAUGCAAAAUCUGUGAAAACGGAGUUUUAUUUUGAUUAUUUUUCCUGCAUGAGACCUGAACUUGAACUGUUUUGCUGGCUGUAGUACUCAUUUAUUGUUACCAACAAAAUAGCAAAAUUCAGUGUCUUAAAACAAUUCAAAUAUCUCGUCUUUGUGAGUCAGGAACCUGGGUGCAGCUCAGGGGACCUCUGUUUAGAGCCUCAGGAGGCUGCAGUGAAGGUGUAGCUGGGCUGUGUUCUGAUCCUGACUCUUGCCUGGAAAAGAAAACCUCCCACACUCACUUAGGUUGCUGGCAGGAUUCAUUUCCCUUGGGUUGCAGGUUAGAGGGUCCUGGUUUCUUGCUGGCUGUGGCUCCAGGCUGCCCUGACUCCAGGGUCUCCAGUCAGCUCUUUGCACAUAAGCUUACACGUGGCCGAGUAUUUCUCAAGCAUGAGCUUAGAAGGAGCCUCCAUAGGGAAUGUGUCAGUGAGAUAAAUAAUGUGUAUAAAUAAUCAAUCACUGUCACAGGAUUCAUAUCCUAACAUUUGUGCCAUACUGCAGGGGUCAGAAGCAAUUCUCAGGCCCUGCCUGCAAGUGAAGGGAAGGAAUUUCACUAUGUCUGAACACCAAGAGGCAGUGUCCUCGGAUUGCCCCCCCACCCUUCCUUUGAGUCUGUCUGUCCCAGGGGACUCACCUGAACUCCACUGAUGUGAAGUUAUCUGGAGUCCUACUUUAUCCCAUGUACUUUGAAUAUAGGUUUUGCUACAGAAAUAUUGGUGCUUUUGGUCACAAAAUUCUGCCUUGAACCCUGUGGGAAGACACAUCAUAUAGAGACUAGGACCUUGAAGAGAAAGUGCUGAUGUUUGAGAUGCAUGUGCCAUGUUCCUAGAUCCUACAGAGAAUGCAAUUUUGCCUCUCCCUACUCUUCCAGCAGCAAUAGAACAACCAGUGUUCCACGUCUUCUUGAUUGUAUGUAUAUAAUUUUUUCCCAACUGAUGGAUUUGAAAUGGUACCUAAUUGUGCACCCAAUUUCUGUUUCUCCAUUUUCACUAAUGAGUUUGGGAGUUUUACUUGUUCAUGUUUUCUUUGUAAAGGUUUAUGUCUAAGACCCUUUGGGUUUCUGUGAUUUACCUCUGAUUUACUGGAGUUUAAUAAUUUUUAAACUCUAUGUUAUGGCUUGUGUCUAGACGUCUGCCCAAAGCGUCAUGCAUUCAUAGGUGGGGCUUUUUCUGAGGGGGCUGAAUAUAGAAUGUGUGAUUCAUGGUGCAAGGCUAGGCAGGCGAACACUAGGUUUAAGAAGGUCAGUAAUACCCACCUAAGUAGUCAGAGUAAGAUAAAAGGGACAGAAAGAUACUGUUGAGGUCCCCUGUUGCUUUUGCUGUCUUUUGCCACCAUGAACUGUUGCCCCUCUGCCAAGCCACCCUGCCACGGAGCCAGCUGAUUAUGGAUUGAAACCUCUUGAAACUGUGAUCUAAUAAACCCUUUCCCCUUUGUCUUUGAAUGUCGGGUAUUUUGUCUCAGCAGUGAGAGAACAAUAACUAACAUAUUUAGGUUCUUAGAUCCUUAUUAAUUUCUAGGAGACUAUAGCCAAUGUUUCUCCUGUUAUAUGCGUGGCAUUUUCACUUUCUUUUUUCUGAUUAAGUUUCAAACUUAGGGUGACCAUAUUUUCCUUUACAGUUGGUGACUUUUGUUUCCAAAGAGCCCAGUCAUCAAUGGGCAUUGAAUUUCACCAAUGAGUUAGUUGCAUUCACUGCGAGCAUCCUGUGAUUUCUUUCCUUAAAUGUGCUGAGGAGCGACCUCAUCAAAAGAGAAUAGGAAGGGGAAACUAUCUCCCUAACAGACUUUCUGGAUGACAGCAGAGGCAUUGAUAGAGGAAGAAGCACUUAUGGCCUCAAAUCAAUCAGCUGGGCUGAUGAAACAGAUGACUGGGAAGAGGAUGUUUCAGCCAGAUGGCAGAGUGGGGAUGAGGAUGUGUAUGGGGUUCCUGGAACUGACCAUGUUGUCCUUGCCACCGCUCCAUGUGCUGCUCAGGAACCCAGUGUCGACUGGAGCUGUCUGCCCAAGUCUCUGCCCUACCCUGCUUUUCUUGGGAACCUUCCCAAAGAUCUGAUCAAAGAUUUGGUUAAGAACUUCUUUAGAGGAUUAAAUAUCAGGGUGGUGCAUUUACCAUGUGACCCCUGCAAUCCAAAAAGGUAGAAAGGUUUUGGUUCUGUUCAGUUUGGGAACUUGGAUUCCCUGCUCUGUGCCCUGAGUCUCAAUAAACUGUGUCUAGGCAAAAGAAUAGUUCGAGUUGGAUUAGCUGAUCAAGCAUAGCAAGACAGCACACAGGAGCCUGACAAAACAGACACAGACUGGAGGGCCCGACCUGCCACAGACAGCUUUGAUGAUGACAGCCCACCCAGAAGCAGUGAUGAUGGCUUUGGAUGCAAGUAUCAAGACUGUUAUGAUUCAGAUAGUGGUGGGUAUCAGAAUGGCCUAUCCUGGCCUAUGAAUCCAUAUAGGAGCCGGGAUCAUUAGGGCCACCAAGGCAGCAGAGACUCUGAUAGAGACUGUGAUUCCAGAAUAGGCAAUGGCAGAAGAGCCCUCCAUAGUGAGUGCCAUAGAGAU
RNAcentral lists this long non-coding RNA (5283 nucleotides) under Heterocephalus glaber (naked mole-rat). RNAcentral's name for it is "lncRNA (ENSHGLG00100046364.1)". Lineage: Eukaryota; Metazoa; Chordata; Mammalia; Rodentia; Bathyergidae. The record is from RNAcentral.